CCAUUUACUUCAAUAGUAUUCUUUUUUCCUACUAUGGAAGUGAAUGGGGUCCACAAACGGUUUGGUUACAAACAUUUCUCAAAAUAUCUUCCUUUGUGUUGAUCAGAACAAAGAAAUUUAUACAGGUUUGUAACAACAUAAGGGUCAGUAAAUGAUGGCAGAAUUUUCAUUUUUGGGUGAACUAUCCCUUUAACAUCAUUUAUCAAAAUAUCUUCUUUUGUGUUCAUCAAAAUAAAACCAUUCAUACAGGUUUAGAACAACAUGAGGGUGAGUAAAUGAUGACAGAAUUUUCAUUUUUGGGUGAACUAUCCCUUUAACAUCAUUUAUCAAAAUAUCUUCUUUUGUGUUCAUCAAAAUAAAACCAUUCAUACAGGUUUAGAACAACAUGAGGGUGAGUAAAUGAUGACAGAAUUUUCAUUUUUGGGUGAACUAUCCAUUUAAAGUUGCCCAAUUAUGCAUGAAAACUGCAGACUUGGCAACCCUGUACCUUAAUUACCUGUUAAUACAAUGCAUCGUUAUCCUCAGACCCUCGUUGUUUCAGAUGAAUGAAUAAACUUAGGAUGAUCCUUUUACAGCUGCUGAGAUCUCAUAUUAUUUGUACUUUGAAAUAGAAAUUCAGACAUAUUUGAGGGGUGAAUUUAUUAGAUGAUGUUUGUAUUGGUAGUAAGUGAGGAAUCAUAGCCUAUUCUUUACAGAGUUAUAAGUACAGGCGUUAUGGUAAACUAGAAGUUUCGGUACAUAUUGUUACAGUAAAAAAUCUGUGAAGCUCAUUUUUCCAGAAUGUGAUUAUUUUAGCUUGUUACACUUUUUUUGUUUGUUUUGAAGCAAUACUGAUGUUUCUUCAAAACACUGAAAGGUCAAACAUGAACAAUGACAGUUCAAAUAUUAUCCCAGCUAGUGCAAAGUAGCAGAACCAAGAUAAAUGGACUUGAGUAGGGUGAUAAAUGUGCUGUUUUCACUGGUACGUAACUGUGUGUUAGUCACACUAUGUGCAGCCUCUUAUUCUAAUGUGUUGCAGGUACUGACUGUUUACAUCUGUGUAAAUAUUCUCAUCUGUUUAUGUGCGUGCAAUGGUCAAUAAACAAAAGCCUGUGCUUUCAAUUGAACCUGUUUGCCUCAUGUUGUGCAUCUAUUACUUAUUUUAUGUAAGCAUACGGGACAAGAGGCUGUGGUUUAUCGGGGAAUAAGUCAUCAUGGCUGAAGGGUGUUGUUAAGCAUGACGCAAAGCUGACUUAAUCAUGACUUAUUUACAAUACAGCACUAUUGCUUUUAUAAAAAAUUAACACACAAUACAAAUUAUAAAGCAAAAACGGGUAUCAACACACCUUUAUUGAAGUAAACUAAUUUAAAGUUUCUUUCUUUAGCUGGAAAAUCGUCCCUGACCGACUGUGAAAAGCAUCAAAAUGUUUAACAUAUAAAACUGCUUAAAACUAAAAACACACAGUAACCCGGAUGCUGCAAAUCAUUUUGAUUACGUUUAUGAUCUAUCUUUUUAUAAAGAAUCUGUCCACCUUACAUUUGUUAUUUAAAGUCCCUUUUUCCAAAUUAGCAACAAUAAGCUACUGAGUAUUUUAAAAAGUGUGCAGAUUAUAAUAGAAACACUGUAAGAUGAUUUUUUUUCUUGACAUGAUUGCUAAAAUACCUGUUUCUCAUACUUAUGUCUUUAUCACUGAAGUGGAUAUACAGCGUAGACACAGAACAGCUCUCUUUUUUCUUGGAAGUGUUUGCCCUAUAAUGAUGAGAGGUCAGGAAUGAUGUACGGAUCAGGUAUCGUCUCCCUUAUAUGGUCAGAACUGUCCACAAUAGCACAUCUUCACUGGAGAGGGAUUUUUACUGCUCUUAAAACAACAUUUACAUCAUCGGUUCGCAGCAAUGUUUGUCUAUAAUAUAAAUGAUUCUUCUGUUUUGUUUCACAAUGUAAUAAACUGUUAGUGCACAGCAACCUUGGGUUAAAGAGAUGUGCUCAAGUGAUUUACUCUUCUUUGAUAAAUAACAAAAGUACAGAUUUGUUGCCCAUUUGCUUCUGAAGCACUUUCUGUACUUUGUUUCAUCAGAGACAAUUUCAAGUGAGCUGAACUGUAGUUGCUCUAUAAGCUAAGCAUUCAUAUUAACCAUUGAAAUGGUUGUUAAAUGUCUGAAUGAAAUGCAAUAGUUAAAAAUGAAUAUGUUUAUUUUCUAAAUGUAAAUGGAUUGGCUCAGAUAUUUUCACAGGUCCCUGGACCAUAAAUAACCAUACCAUGUGCUUGCUGCUGCCAGACCAUUCAUACUAUUUGUUCACCAGGUCAUUGAUGUAUUGAACCAUUUGGAGGCUCUCCAAAGACUCAAGAACUGAUGACUGGCUGAAGGUUGUUUAUAUAGGCACUGGAGAGGAACUCAUCAUCUCUCAUCGCCAUUCACUGGUAAGUGUACAUGUAGAGAUUACACUAUACAUAAAUGUAUGCAUGCCUUUCUUUUUUCUUUUUUUAACAUUCUGUAUUAUAUAUUACGCAGUGCAUUGUAUUUAAUGUAAUAGUUAUGUUAUGACAAUGUCUAAAGAUUCUUCUAAAGAUAAACUUUAUUUUGUCCUAAAAUUAUGCAACGAUAGACUCAACUAUGACAGUACAAAUGAUGCAAUUUAUUUGUUUUAUUAUUGUUAACCAUAUAAAAAAAUACUGUGGUGUAGAU
Molecule: non-coding RNA, 2664 nt
Organism: Paramisgurnus dabryanus
Lineage: Eukaryota; Metazoa; Chordata; Actinopteri; Cypriniformes; Cobitidae
Source: RefSeq, a predicted model, not a curated record